This 253-nucleotide ribosomal RNA is filed under the name uncultured bacterium. RNAcentral describes it as "partial 16S ribosomal RNA". It matches the Rfam family "Bacterial small subunit ribosomal RNA", at positions 524 to 776 of the family's 1533-position model. The record is from RNAcentral.
AACGUAGGGGGCGAGCGUUGUCCGGAAUUACUGGGCGUAAAGGGCGUGUAGGUGGCCUGUGAAGUCGAAAGUGAAAACCUGGGGCUCAACCCCGGGCCUACUUUCGAAACCAGCAGGCUUGAGGACAGGAGAGGGAAGCGGAAUUCCCAGUGUAGCGGUGAAAUGCGUAGAUAUUGGGAGGAACACCAGUGGCGAAAGCGGCUUUCUGGCCUGUAACUGACACUGAGGCGCGAAAGCGUGGGGAGCAAACAGG